GGGUUUUGCAACCCGCAAAAUUGGAAACAUGACUACACCAACGCUGACUGUUACCAGAGACGGUGAUAAAUUGUGUGGAAAUCAGAAUCAACAUUCAAAAACCAAACAGUAGAAUUUACCGUGGGAGAAGAAUUCGAUUUCAAAACAAUGGAUGACAGGAAUGUAAAGUGCGUUGUAACAUGGGAUAAAGAUAAGCUGAAGGAAGUGCAGAAGCCAAAGCCUGGUGAAAAGGGCAAAGAAACAACUAUAGUCAGAGAAGUCACUGAUGAUGGAAAUAUACUCAUGACUUUGUACAUCGAUGAUGUUGUAUGUACACGUCUUUACAAGAAAUUGGAAUAGAAAUAUUCUAGACAGGAAAAAAUUGCAAAAUACAACCAUAAAGAAUUGCGUGUAGUUUGUAAUUAUAGUGACACAUAGUGUGAAUAUUCUCAGUCAUAGGUGCUAUAAGCUCCCAUUUACGCUUUACCUUUAAUUUGUAUCUUAGGCCACACUCCACAAAAUUUGUAUUUGUUGAGCAGCAUUUUAUUUGUGUUUAUAGAGUUAUUUUUAUUACAAAAUAUGGGAUCUUAAGAUUUUAGUUGGGAGUUAUAAUUUGUAUCAUUAAAUAUGCAUACAUUUUUCAACCAACGUGAAAUGUACAUGUAUUUGUUUUCAACCCAAAUGAAAUGUACAUGUAUGUGUUUUCAACUAACAUGAAAUGAGCAUUAGUAUGGAACUUGAUCAAUUAAAUGACAAUUAAACAAUUGAUGUUGUGUUUUGCUGUGUUAUAGGAAAUUGAAUUUCACUAUUGUACUUGUUGCAGAUACAGGUGAAUAAUUAAAUUAGUAUCAUGCAUUGUGUUCUAAAAUAUUAAAAAUGAAAUAAUGUCUAACGUUUGUGCAUAGCAUAGCACACUGGCAUUCACGCAUUACCUAUUAGUGCCAAACAGGAUGUACAAAAAUCACUUUAGGUGUUCAAUGGUAACUUUAUAGCAAGUGGAAAAAUAAUAACUAAGAAAGUAUAUUUAAAAAAUUAAAGAUAAUGUCUACACU
Saccoglossus kowalevskii is the source of this 1031-nucleotide non-coding RNA. The record is from RefSeq and is a predicted model, not a curated record. NCBI's taxonomy places the organism in Eukaryota, Metazoa, Hemichordata, Enteropneusta, Harrimaniidae.